CUCAGCCAGUCAGAGUCAACCACAACUAAAGAAAUUUAUUCACAUAAACAAUUUCCAGUAAUGGUCUCAGCUCGUACGAGGCUCCUGUUGUAAAUUGACAACAAGCUGUUCUUUCCAGAAGGAGGAGUGCAGAAGAAAAUGAAAAGAAAGCGUCAUCAUGGUCAGCAUCUUUGAAGAAAUGGGUACUCAAAGAAAUCCUCAUGUAGAGUCACACUGUGCUGUCAUCUGA
This 229-nucleotide long non-coding RNA is filed under the name Mus spicilegus (steppe mouse). RNAcentral's name for it is "lncRNA (ENSMSIG00000021955.1)". Lineage: Eukaryota; Metazoa; Chordata; Mammalia; Rodentia; Muridae. The record is from RNAcentral.